This 690-nucleotide ribosomal RNA is filed under the name uncultured bacterium. RNAcentral's name for it is "bacterial SSU rRNA". It matches the Rfam family "Bacterial small subunit ribosomal RNA", at positions 104 to 810 of the family's 1533-position model. The record is from RNAcentral.
GGGUGAGUAACGCGUGGGUAACCUGCCUUACACUGGGGGAUAACACUUAGAAAUAGGUGCUAAUACCGCAUAAUAGGAGAAGACGCAUGUCUUAUCCUUGAAAACUCCGGUGGUGUAAGAUGGACCCGCGUCUGAUUAGCCAGUUGGCGGGGUAACGGCCCACCAAAGCGACGAUCAGUAGCCGGCCUGAGAGGGUGAACGGCCACAUUGGGACUGAGACACGGCCCAAACUCCUACGGGAGGCAGCAGUGGGGAAUAUUGGACAAUGGGGGGAACCCUGAUCCAGCGACGCCGCGUGAGUGAAGAAGUAUCUCGGUAUGUAAAGCUCUAUCAGCAGGGAAGAAAGAAAUGACGGUACCUGACUAAGAAGCCCCGGCUAACUACGUGCCAGCAGCCGCGGUAAUACGUAGGGGGCAAGCGUUAUCCGGAUUUACUGGGUGUAAAGGGAGCGUAGACGGCUGAGCAAGUCUGAAGUGAAAGGCGGGGGCCCAACCCCCGGACUGCUUUGGAAACUGUAUAGCUAGAGUGCAGGAGAGGUAAGUGGAAUUCCUGGUGUAGCGGUGAAAUGCGUAGAUAUUAGGAGGAACACCAGUGGCGAAGGCGGCUUACUGGACUGUAACUGACGUUGAGGCUCGAAAGCGUGGGGAGCAAACAGGAUUAGAUACCCUGGUAGUCCACGCCGUAAACGAU